GUGGGGUUGUGGCUCAGUGGUAGAGUGCUGGCCUAGUGUGUGCGAGGUGCUGGGUUUGAUCCUCAGCACCACA
This 73-nucleotide transfer RNA is filed under the name Marmota monax (woodchuck). RNAcentral describes it as "tRNA.Thr". The record is from RNAcentral. Lineage: Eukaryota; Metazoa; Chordata; Mammalia; Rodentia; Sciuridae.